Molecule: long non-coding RNA, 413 nt
Filed under: Mytilus galloprovincialis (Mediterranean mussel)
Lineage: Eukaryota; Metazoa; Mollusca; Bivalvia; Mytilida; Mytilidae
Source: RNAcentral
CAGCACUGAAGAUCAAAAGUUGAAAAAGGUUGUGUCAAAUACGGCUAAGUUUGUAUGCUUGGGAUAAGAACAUCCUAAUUAUUUAGAACAAUUAAUGCUAUUGCAAACAGUAAAUUUUAUCAAAUGAAUAUAACAGAUAUACAUAAUGAAACUGAAGUAUUAACUCAUUACAUAAAACAAACACGAAUACAUAAUGAAUGACUAACACAGAAUAGACACACCCGACUCAGUCCAGGCCUCAACGCAGUAAAUUAUGAAAAUGACGUCACAUACGACAGUGAAAAGGCAUUAAAAAUUACGUCACAUACGAUGGUGAAAAGGCAUUAAAAAUUUGAACAUAUGAAAUUUCUGAAACAGCAGAAAAAUUGCGUCACAUAUGAAAAACUAUAUCUCAAAAGUAAGAUAGAAUUAUG